GUGCAGUUACAGAGCUUUAUAUACAAGUGGUUCAGCUCUAACUGCCUAUGACGUGGCAUAACAAACUCUAACAACUUCUACUAAGGACUAUACUACUAUACAUUCUCCCUAGAACUCUUAUUGUGUUCACUAUCAUGUGAUUCAAACACCUUUGCAUCAGUGGCGUGUGGCUCAAGCAAGUUAGCAUCACUUUGUUCUUCUAGAGUGUCACUCGUAUUUUNN
RNAcentral lists this long non-coding RNA (222 nucleotides) under Trifolium pratense (red clover). RNAcentral's name for it is "long non-coding RNA (TPRA_LNC005036)". Lineage: Eukaryota; Viridiplantae; Streptophyta; Magnoliopsida; Fabales; Fabaceae. The record is from RNAcentral.